RNAcentral lists this transfer RNA (64 nucleotides) under Cavia porcellus (domestic guinea pig). It matches the Rfam family "tRNA", at positions 1 to 62 of the family's 71-position model. Rfam says of the family: Transfer RNA (tRNA) molecules are approximately 80 nucleotides in length. Their secondary structure includes four short double-helical elements and three loops (D, anti-codon, and T loops). Further hydrogen bonds mediate the characteristic L-shaped molecular structure. tRNAs have two regions of fundamental functional importance: the anti-codon, which is responsible for specific mRNA codon recognition, and the 3' end, to which the tRNAs corresponding amino acid is attached (by aminoacyl-tRNA synthetases). tRNAs cope with the degeneracy of the genetic code in two manners: having more than one tRNA (with a specific anti-codon) for a particular amino acid; and 'wobble' base-pairing, i.e. permitting non-standard base-pairing at the 3rd anti-codon position. Lineage: Eukaryota; Metazoa; Chordata; Mammalia; Rodentia; Caviidae. The record is from Rfam by way of RNAcentral.
GGGGAUUUAGCUCAGUGGUAUAAGUGCCUGCCUUGAAAGCACAUGGUUGUGAGUUCAAUCCCCA